AUGGUAGGAUAGAGGCCUACCAUGGUGGUAACGGGUAACGGGGUGUUAGGGCACGACACCGGAGAGGGAGCCUGAGAAACGGCUACCACAUCCAAGGAUGGCAGCAGGCGCGCAAAUUACCCAAUCCCGACACGGGGAGGUAGUGACAAUAAAUAACAAUACGGGGUUCUUUAGGAUCUCGUAAUUGGAAUGAGUACAAUUUAAAUCUCUUAACGAGGAACAAUUGGAGGGCAAGUCUGGCGCCAGCAGCCGCGGUAAUUCCAGCUCCAAUAGCGUAUAUUAAAGUUGUUGCAGUUAAAAAGCUCGUAGUUGAAUUUCGGGGUCAGUAGGUCGGUCGUGCCACUGGUAUGAACUGGUUUUACUGAUUCCUCCCUCUUGAAGAACUGUAAUGCCAUUAAUUUGGUGUUGCAGGGAAUCAGGACUGUUACUUUGAAAAAAUUAGAGUGUUUAAAGCAGGCUUUAGCUUGAAUACAUUAGCAUGGAAUAAUGAAAUAGGACGUUUGAUCCUAUUUUGUUGGUUUCUAGGAUUGACGUAAUGAUUAAUAGGGAUAGUUGGGGGCAUUAGUAUUCAAUUGUCAGAGGUGAAAUUCUUGGAUUUAUUGAAGACUAACUACUGCGAAAGCAUUUGCCAAGGAUGUUUUCAUUAAUCAAGAACGAAAGUUAGGGGAUCGAAGACGAUCAGAUACCGUCGUAGUCUUAACCAUAAGCUAUGCCGACUAGGGAUCGGAUGAUGUUAAUUUUUUAAUGACUCAUUCGGCGCCUUACGGGAAACCAAAG
This 777-nucleotide ribosomal RNA is filed under the name uncultured Glomus. RNAcentral describes it as "SSU rRNA". It matches the Rfam family "Eukaryotic small subunit ribosomal RNA", at positions 325 to 1103 of the family's 1831-position model. Lineage: Eukaryota; Fungi; Glomeromycota; Glomeromycetes; Glomerales; Glomeraceae. The record is from RNAcentral.